Oncorhynchus keta (chum salmon) is the source of this 368-nucleotide long non-coding RNA. RefSeq lists it as uncharacterized. NCBI's taxonomy places the organism in Eukaryota, Metazoa, Chordata, Actinopteri, Salmoniformes, Salmonidae. The record is from RefSeq and is a predicted model, not a curated record. The transcript is spliced from 3 exons.
AAUAAAGGUGUUCUCUACUAGCCUACCUGGUUAAAUAAAGGUGUUCUCUACUAGCCUACCUGGUUAAAUAAAGGUGUUCUCUACUAGCCUACCUGGUUAAAUAAAGGUGUUCUCUACUAGCCUACCUGGUUAAAUAAAGGUGUUCUCUACUAGCCUACCUGGUUAAAUAAAGGUGUUCUCUACUAGCCUACCUGGUUAAAUAAAGGUGUUCUCUACUAGCCUACCUGGUUAAAUAAAGGUGUUCUCUACUAGCCUACCUGGUUAAAUAAAGGUGUUCUCAACUAGCCUACCUGGUUAAAUAAAGGUGUUCUCUACUAGCCUACCUGGUUAAAUAAAGGUGUUCUCAACUAGCCUACCUGGUUAAAUAA